GCAUGGGUGGUUCAGUUGGUAGAAUUCUCGCCUGCCACGCGGGAGGCCCGGGUUCGAUUCCCGGCCCAUGCA
This 72-nucleotide transfer RNA is filed under the name Macaca mulatta (Rhesus monkey). Its description in RNAcentral is "tRNA-Gly (GCC) (tRNA-Gly-GCC-10-1)". It matches the Rfam family "tRNA". Rfam says of the family: Transfer RNA (tRNA) molecules are approximately 80 nucleotides in length. Their secondary structure includes four short double-helical elements and three loops (D, anti-codon, and T loops). The record is from RNAcentral. Lineage: Eukaryota; Metazoa; Chordata; Mammalia; Primates; Cercopithecidae.